Molecule: ribosomal RNA, 492 nt
Filed under: uncultured bacterium
Lineage: Bacteria
Description: partial 16S ribosomal RNA
Rfam family: Bacterial small subunit ribosomal RNA
Source: RNAcentral
AGUGAACGCUGGCGGUAGGCCUAACACAUGCAAGUCGAACGGCAGCACAGUAAGAGCUUGCUCUUACGGGUGGCGAGUGGCGGACGGGUGAGGAAUACAUCGGAAUCUACUUUUUCGUGGGGGAUAACGUAGGGAAACUUACGCUAAUACCGCAUACGACCUACGGGUGAAAGCAGGGGAUCUUCGGACCUUGCGCGAUUGAAUGAGCCGAUGUCGGAUUAGCUAGUUGGCGGGGUAAAGGCCCACCAAGGCGACGAUCCGUAGCUGGUCUGAGAGGAUGAUCAGCCACACUGUAACUGAGCCACGGUCCAGACUCCUACGGGAGGCAGCAGUGGGGAAUAUUGGACAAUGGGCGCAAGCCUGAUCCAGCCAUACCGCGUGGGUGAAGAAGGCCUUUGGGUUGUAAAGCCCUUUUGUUGGGAAAGAAAAGCAGCAGGUUAAUACCCCGCUGUUCUGACGGUACCCAAAGAAUAAGCACCGGCUAACUUCGUG